Molecule: long non-coding RNA, 785 nt
Organism: Herpailurus yagouaroundi (jaguarundi)
Lineage: Eukaryota; Metazoa; Chordata; Mammalia; Carnivora; Felidae
Exons: 5
Source: RefSeq, a predicted model, not a curated record
GAAUUGUGUCCCACAAAAAGCUAUGUUGAAGUCCUAACCCUCAGUACCUAUAAAUGUGACCUUACUUGGCAAUAUGGCAUUUGCAGAUUUAAUUAAGUUAACAUGAUAUCAUAGUUAAAUAAGGAUAGGCCUUUAAUCCAAUGUGAUUGGUAUUCUUAUGUGAAGAGAAGACACACAGAGAAAAACAUGUAGCAGGAAUGCCCUGUGAUAACAGAGACAGAGAUCGGAGUGAUGUGUCUACAAGCCAAGGAGCAGGAGGGAUUGAUGGCGACUCCAAAAGUUAAGAGGAAGGACGCAGACAAUUCUGACGAAUCAUCAGAGGGUCAACAGUAGCCUAGCGCUGCGUCACAGUGCCUGCGUCAUUUUCUUCGCUUCAUCGCAUCACAUAGGUGUUUUACCGUCUCACAUCGUCAUAAGAAAAGGGGAGAUGCAGCAAAAGCUCAUACUGUCUGUAUAAUGCUUCCACAAGCACAAGUGCUUGGCGCUGCUGAUUCUGCUGGGCUUGAGCUAACGUUGAAGAGCAUUUAAACAAACAUUGUGUCACUUCCUAAUGACCACCAUAGACUCAGGUAAGCUGUCAUUUUUUUUUUUUUGACUCAUUUUAAGAUAUUUUCUUUGCUUUAGUUUCAGAAGUUUAAUUAUGAUGUGUCUUGAUGUGGAUUUCCUCAACUUCAUGAAUCUGUAGGUUUGUUUCUUUUGCCAAAUUUGAGAUAUUUUCAGACUUUAUUUCUUUACUUUUUCAACUCUUAUAUCUUUUGCUGCUCAAUGGGACUCCAAGGAUAAGA